GACGAACGCUGGCGGCGUGCUUAACACAUGCAAGUCGAACGGAAAGGCCCUGCUUUUGUGGGGUGCUCGAGUGGCGAACGGGUGAGUAACACGUGAGUAACCUGCCCUUGACUUUGGGAUAACUUCAGGAAACUGGGGCUAAUACCGGAUAGGAGCUCCUGCUGCAUGGUGGGGGUUGGAAAGUUUCGGCGGUUGGGGUUGGACUCGCGGCUUAUCAGCCUGUUGGUGGGGUAGUGGCUUACCAAGGCUUUGACGGGUAGCCGGCCUGAGAGGGUGACCGGCCACAUAGGGACUGAGAGACGGCCUCGACUCCUAUGGGGGGCAGCAGUGGGGAGAUUUGCACGAUGGCCUACAGACUGGCGAAGCAGCGCCGGGUGCGGGAUGACGGUCUUCGGGGUGUAAGCAGCUUUAGCCUGUGACGAAGCGUGAGGGACGGUAAUGGGUAAAGAAGCACCGGCUAACUACGUG
This 468-nucleotide ribosomal RNA is filed under the name uncultured bacterium. Its description in RNAcentral is "partial 16S ribosomal RNA". It matches the Rfam family "Bacterial small subunit ribosomal RNA", at positions 28 to 507 of the family's 1533-position model. The record is from RNAcentral.